Molecule: small nuclear RNA, 192 nt
Organism: Hippoglossus stenolepis (Pacific halibut)
Lineage: Eukaryota; Metazoa; Chordata; Actinopteri; Pleuronectiformes; Pleuronectidae
Product: U2 spliceosomal RNA
Exons: 1
Source: RefSeq, a predicted model, not a curated record
ACAAAUGGUCGCCGGCCUUUGGCUAAGAUCAUGUAGUAUCUGUUCUUAUCAGUUUAACAUGAUAUGUCCUUUCAUAUGAGACUACAUUACAGCCUUUUGCGAUAUGGUGAAAUUUUGGGAGCUGUUCUUCCGUUAUAACUCCAAGAGUCGCUGGGAACGGUGCACUCUGUUCUACCUUUGUGAAAACCAACA